RNAcentral lists this non-coding RNA (160 nucleotides) under bovine gut metagenome. The record is from RNAcentral.
GGUUCUUGGGAGAAGAUGAAAAGGGAACCCCGUGAAAAUCAGGGACUAUACCCGUAGCUGUAAGCUCUGAAACAUGCCGAACACCCCAUGCCACUGUCCAACCCAUGAGGACGGGAAGGCCGUUCGGAAGGGAGUAAGUCAGAAGACCUGCCUUGGAAAC